This is a non-coding RNA of Arachis ipaensis, 231 nucleotides long. The record is from RefSeq and is a predicted model, not a curated record. NCBI's taxonomy places the organism in Eukaryota, Viridiplantae, Streptophyta, Magnoliopsida, Fabales, Fabaceae.
CUUACUUAUGUGAAGCUUGGGUAAGGUUAUGAAUAAAUAAUUGGAGCUUGGAAUUGUGGAUAUUGGAACUUGGAGGAAGCUGAGCCUAGUGUUUAUUGAAUUCUGGAAGGGCUGUGUUUGUUUUGGAAGGGCUGUGUUUAUUAUAAUUAAAGUGCCUUGAUCGUUACGUGGGAAUCGGCCAAGAUGCAGGUCGAGAGACAUCUCGUUAGGUGUCUGGACUCUUGAAGCGGA